GUGGAGUUCAAUCUCUCCAUGUCUUCAUCAGUGCUCCAUCCAUGAUGCUGAACACUGACUUGGGCCCUGAAGUACUUUAAAUAAAGAUAUACGGAUUGCUGUAUAGAUGAUUAAACAAAGGAAUCAGGGUCCCUGUUUGGAGUUAAUCUGUGGGAAAAAGUGUAGGAACAUCCUGAUGAAGUUAUUGCUGUCAGGAGGAGCAUCAUGAGAGAGGGAAGGCAAAGAUCAUUUCACAUCUGCAUCUCGUCUACAUGCAGACAGACAGAGAGAGAGAGAGAGAGAGAGAGAGAGAGAGAGAGAGAGAGAGAGAGAGAGAGAGAGAGAGAGAGACCACUCCCUCAUUCGCCUUUCAUUGAAAGAGAAACAGCGCCACCCAUGUGUCAGUUGCAACAGCUUGCACUUUAAAUUGUUACAGGACAGACCUUGUCAACAAUCUUUCUUGGCUCACUGAGAUCUCAGUACGUUUGCACUUCCCUUUAUUUCUUUUCUGCAAUUAUACACGCAUAACAUUUCCUAUAUGAUCUAUGUUCUUUUGAGAGCAGAAAUGAAUGCAGAACGAAUCCAUAACCACAGAUUCUUGAUGGUGGACCAAUGUAAUGGUUUAUGAAUUAGACUUGAAAACAGUGGUCAACCACUAAUCGGAACACUCCGGGUGCCCAGAAAACAUUCAUGGGAACGUUAUUCAGGGAAAAUGCCUCCAAAUGAAAGGGAUUAAGGUGCGAGGAGUUACUACGGAAAGUGUGAUGAUAAAGUUGUAAACCGACAUGAAGACAUUAAACUCAUUGUAUGUCCAGAAGUGGUGCAUAAAUGACUAAAGGGGAAACAGCGGUAUGGUUCUGCAUAGAGGAAUAUUUUCCUUUUCUUGGUCUGUACUGGGCCUUGUAUGAGCGGGAAUAGGCUAGUCAUGGAGGGAACGUUCAGGGUGGUCCCUGGGUAAACCAAGAUUUAAAAAAAAACUACUGUGGUACAGUAAUGAGUGAGUGAGCGAGUGAGUGAGAAAGUGUAAAUUUUGAUGUUUUGUUUUGGGUCAAAACAGUUGCUUGGGCAACCGAGAGAAAGGGGUGUGCUUUUCGCCCCUGAAUCAGGGUUUUAUUUCUCCUUGAAAAUUUAAGGCAGGAGACCGUUUUGUUGGCUUGAACUCAUCAAGUAUUUUCCACUGAUCUCAUGCUCUUGCUUCUUUACUUUUCCUUCCGUUGAAGAAAGGAAAAAAUCAUUUUGAACUGUAAGGCGGAGAGAAAAUCCAUCUGCUAAUAAUCAGGAUUUAAUAGGGAGGCUUAUUGUAAAUCUGCGUAGAAUCUGACAGCUGCGCUGGUCCGUCCAGCCUGGACGUUAGGGGUUUGAUUCACUAUGUAUGAGAAACAAGCAUACUGUGAGACUAAUCAUAUUGAGUGUGUGAUUCAAUGUAAGAGUUAAGACAAACCUGUAUAACGACAUGGAAGAGACAAAGAUCAAAGUUAGGGGUGGACAGAGAGGUCAAAAGUCAGGGUGCUUAAAUGAAUGUUAUGCUGACCCUGACCGGGCAAGGAGGGGUUAAAAUAGACCUCUGGGAGUUGACUGGGGAUCCUCAAAGGUUUAGAUCUUCACAGGACAGCAGGUCACAUAAAUCUUAGGAAUCAGACUAAACAUCAUGUAUCUUGCAGCGGGGGUUCAUACAUAAGUAUGUGAGUUCCCUGGUUUUGAACCCAGGACCUUUUGCGCUGCUAAUGCAAUGCUUUAGCACUGAGCUAUACAGGAGCAUGCAUAUGAAAAAUGUUUUCAACUCUGUAGAUGUGGUGACCCAGACUCUGGAAUUCUGGGAAAUUUUUCUCUAUAGUAAUGAGAUGCACCGAUCCAAGAAACAUAGACACGAUCUACAGUAUGUGUAUUGUGCUUCUGCAUUUAAAUAAUUCAUCACUCAAAUAAU
Non-coding RNA from Misgurnus anguillicaudatus (oriental weatherfish), 1903 nucleotides. Lineage: Eukaryota; Metazoa; Chordata; Actinopteri; Cypriniformes; Cobitidae. The record is from RefSeq and is a predicted model, not a curated record.